CCUACGGGUGGCAGCAGUGGGGAAUAUUGCACAAUGGGCGCAAGCCUGAUGCAGCCAUGCCGCGUGUGUGAAGAAGGCCUUCGGGUUGUAAAGCACUUUCAGCGGGGAGGAAGGCGGUGAGGUUAAUAACCUCAUCGAUUGACGGUACCCGCAGAAGAAGCACCGGCUAACUCCGUGCCAGCAGCCGCGGUAAUACGGAGGGUGCAAGCGUUAAUCGGAAUUACUGGGCGUAAAGCGCACGCAGGCGGUCUGUCAAGUCGGAUGUGAAAUCCCCGGGCUCAACCUGGGAACUGCAUUCGAAACUGGCAGGCUAGAGUCUUGUAGAGGGGGGUAGAAUUCCAGGUGUAGCGGUGAAAUGCGUAGAGAUCUGGAGGAAUACCGGUGGCGAAGGCGGCCCCCUGGACAAAGACUGACGCUCAGGUGCGAAAGUGUGGGGAGCAAACAGGAUUAGAUACCCUAGUAGUC
Molecule: ribosomal RNA, 465 nt
Filed under: uncultured Klebsiella sp.
Lineage: Bacteria; Pseudomonadati; Pseudomonadota; Gammaproteobacteria; Enterobacterales; Enterobacteriaceae
Description: bacterial SSU rRNA
Rfam family: Bacterial small subunit ribosomal RNA
Source: RNAcentral